GCGCGGCCCGCCGCCCUCACCUGAGCCCCGGCCAGCUGAGCCCGCUACCCGCUCUCCCGCCGCGAUCCGGCCCAGCCGCCAGGAAAGGAUUAAAGAGUACAGGACUGACUGGCCUGGAGAUAAGAGACCAAGUUGUAUUCCUAGAUUUACCAUUAUUGUUAAUCUGGGCCUCCAUUGUAAGAGCCCAGUGAUCUUAAGCGAACCUCACCCUCACCUCUACACAAUGUGAAGAAACCUUACAAACAGCUAUGAAAUGAAGUUCUUGGCUGGUCUUCACAGCUUCAGCAUGGCCUUGAAAUCUUCGUGUGUACCAAGACAGGUCUGGUACUUCCUCAAGAGCUGAAAAUAAUUAUAGGAGAAAAGGGAAGCCUUGGAGCCAGCUCCAUCAGAAGAUUCCCUAUGAAACAAGGUAAUGGAGUUUCCCUGAACAUGAAGAUCGGUUCAGAAUGCUCAUAAGGAUCAUGAACAACACCAGAUGAUCUCUAAAGUAAACCAUCAAAGUCUCUCCCAAGCUCUUGGACUAGGAAUGUUCUAUCCAUGACUCUACUAUAAAUCUCUUUGGUCUUCGUGGACAGAAAUAGACCAGUGAAGCCAAACUACUCCAAACUCACGUAACUGAAAUUCCAAAAAAGCAAAUCUGUGACCCUAAGGCUUUGUCUGGACAGAGGGAGAAGACAUCUAUCUACAGCUUCAUUUAUGCUUACUGAGAAAAUCAACUGGAGAGGAAGCCCUGCCUAAGACUUUAAUAUGAAUCAAAACCACACACACACAUGCACAUGCACACACACACACACACACACACACACAUGCACACACACUUGCAUCUUCUGCUGGACCUUUACAUACUCAAAGGGCUAUCAGCCUCUAUUAUUUAAAGAAGUGCUGUCAUAGUCUCUAUUUGACUUCUGCGGAGAUAGGUCUCUGGGCAUGGUCUAGAUAAUCAGAAGAAUAUGAGAAGAAAGGCCAGAAAUAAUACUGCAUAAAUAUAAAAGGCUAUUUACUGUGGAAAAGAGAAAUUCUUUGCUAGACAUAUUUGCCUUAGAGAAAUGUCUCUGUCCUUUAUUAUGUGUUUAGACUGUCCAAUCCUUGAGAAUAACUGUUUGACCUUGGGAGAUCUUGUGUGAAUGUGUUUUAUUCAAAAGGUACUCAGAGAAGACCAAAAGAAAUCAGGAAGAAUAAAAAAGGCCAUGAUUACUUCCUACUGGCUGAGAAACCUCAACACAGGCAGCAUUUCUCAUGCCGACCACCAUCCUAUAUUGUGCUAUAGAUAUUCACCACUGUUCCCAUCACUUCUACUACAACUCAGACUCUAGAAUAUGUAAUCCUGUGUGGAUCCUUGUGUCUAAGAGUGUUGAUAUGGUUUUGCUGUGUCUCCACCCAAAUCUCAUCUUGAAUGGUAACUCCCACAAUUCCCAUGUGUCAUGGGAGGAACCUGGUGGGAGGUAAUUGAAUCAUGGGAGUGGGUCUUUCUUGUGCUGUUCCCGUGAUAGUAAGUCUCACAAGAUAUGAUGGUUUUAAAAACGGGAGUUUCCUGCACAAGCUCUCUUCUCUUGUCUGAUGCCAUGUGAGACACAUCUUUCACCUUCCACCAUGAUUGUGAGGCCUCCCCAGCCACGUGGC
RNAcentral lists this long non-coding RNA (1620 nucleotides) under Homo sapiens (human). RNAcentral describes it as "LMO7 antisense RNA 1". The record is from RNAcentral. Lineage: Eukaryota; Metazoa; Chordata; Mammalia; Primates; Hominidae.